GAUGAACGCUGGCGGCGUGCCUAAUACAUGCAAGUCGAGCGAACGGACGAGAAGCUUGCUUCUCUGAUGUUAGCGGCGGACGGGUGAGUAACACGUGGAUAACCUACCUAUAAGACUGGGAUAACUUCGGGAAACCGGAGCUAAUACCGGAUAAUAUUUUGAACCGCAUGGUUCAAAAGUGAAAGACGGUCUUGCUGUCACUUAUAGAUGGAUCCGCGCUGCAUUAGCUAGUUGGUAAGGUAACGGCUUACCAAGGCAACGAUGCAUAGCCGACCUGAGAGGGUGAUCGGCCACCCUGGAACUGAGACACGGUCCAGACUCCUACGGGAGGCAGCAGUAGGGAAUCUUCCGCAAUGGGCGAAAGCCUGACGGAGCAACGCCGCGUGAGUGAUGAAGGUCUUCGGAUCGUAAAGCUCUGUUAUUAGGGAAGAACAUAUGUGUAAGUAACUGUGCACAUCUUGACGGUACCUAAUCAGAAAGCCACGGCUAACUACGUG
RNAcentral lists this ribosomal RNA (497 nucleotides) under uncultured bacterium. RNAcentral describes it as "partial 16S ribosomal RNA". It matches the Rfam family "Bacterial small subunit ribosomal RNA", at positions 28 to 507 of the family's 1533-position model. The record is from RNAcentral.